GUUGUCAUUUGAUUUAGUUCUGAAAACCACAUUACUUAAAAAAUGGUGUAACUGAAAAAAACAAAAUAUAAGGAGUCAAAUUUACUAUUACCCAUAAUAGAAGUUUUAGCAGUUUCAGAGAGCUUCAUGUUAGGUUUCUUUGAAUUCCUGUAACACACUUUCCAAAGAGUUGUAGAAACAGCCCUUUGUUAAGAGAUGUCAUCAAGACAAGGCUUGCUUCUCGGUUGGUCUCACUUACGGUUUGGAAGGGCCGGUCCUCAUCUCUGAUAACCCCGCCUCUCUGUCAAGAAGUCAAUCAUUUAAGGAUAAGUAUUUGAUGUUAAUGUAUAAAGUUCCUCCUUCAGGGAACCUGGAAUAAGGUUUUAGAGUUGUUGUCUGGGAAGUUUCUAUAUUUUCUGCAAUUGUAUCCUUACUAUAUAUGUUUUUGAAAUCUGUGGGAGAAGUUCAAGCCUGGCUGGGCCAGGUGUGCUGCAUUCCUGUCUCCUGAGCUAACUGGAAGACCUUGCUAAGGCUGAGCUAACUUUGCUAAGGCUGAGCUAACUAACCCUCGUGUAUAGAUGCUGGCUCCAACAGGCUACACCUCCGCCCCUAGUCCAUGACUCCUUCGCCUCGCCCAAGAAAAAUCACUCCGCCAUGUCUGGCCAAUAAGAUAUUGACAAACGUCAAAGUUCCUCCCAUGCUCCUCCCCCAUGGUUCCCUAUAUAAGCCUGUGCAUUUCCUGAAUGAAGCAGAAGCUUUCCAGAAACCUUCCCCGAGGCUUCCGGAGGUUCUGGGCCUUGCCCUUGCAGUCCGAACUCCUGAACCUUGUUCCCUGAGUGGGUUCACAGAUGACAGCAGCUGGCACCCAAACGUGGGGCUCACCUAUACUGGAUGGAUCUGAGAAUGCUGUCUGGGCUUGGUGCCAAGGGCUGGUAUUUCACAGCAGCGACCGCCUCACAGACGAGCUGUGGGAAGCAGGAGGGAGACUCUCUCUUAGGGUGCCACUACUAUGGAGACACAGCUGGGCUGAACAAGAUUUGCUUCAAACGACAACAAGAGAGACAGAAAAUAUCUGGUUCAACCGCUGCCCAAGCAGGCAGGCACCAGAAGAGCUAGCAGCCAAUCCGGCCAUGCUCGAAGCCAGCUCUGCAGCUCAGCCAAUCAGUGACAUCACUGGUGAGAAACUCAUUUACAUCAUGCAGUAAUGAACUUUGUUUAACAUAGCCUCCCCCUUUCCUGCUACCCCUCUCCCCAUAUUAGGUCCUUCCAUUAAUUAUUCUGCUGGCAUAAUUUAAACCGCUAUGCAAAAAUGUGGCUACAUUCUCUCAUAGUUUUUACUUUUUUUCUCCCAUUGGUGCCUGCAGUCACUGGAAGUGAGUCAUCGUACAAUUCUAUUUUAUUUUGAACUUACAAAAAUUACCUUUUCUUUCUUUAAAAUGACGUUUGAAACAAAAUACAGCCCUUGUUUAUUUUACCUAACUCCUUUUCUCAUGAAUACAUCCUUUCUCUAAGUUGGGAUUUAGACAUGUGCAAGGCAACAGAGAAAAGGGGGUGCAUUGCCAUGGAAGUUGCAGUUUUUCCAAGCGAUCUGCAUCUUAAAGCUGCCUUUAAUGUUUCCAGAUUUUGUGCUGCAGUGGCCAUUUUACAUACAGUGCUUUAUCCAAAAAGCACUUAUGUGCAUCUGUCACAUGGAGGAAAGUUCAGUCUUGCUAUAUUUCAUUCUUCACUGCUCUCAGCCAACAUGCCAUUUUAUUAAUGAAUAGAACUGAGGUCAUUUCUGGACAGAUCUCCCCCUUCCCAUUGCAGCACAAUGCACCUGAUUUGCAUCCAUUUACUAGAAAUACUGAAUACAAGAACCAGCUUGAAAAGGAGUUGAGGGACCAGAUUACAUAUUAUUUCAGAAUAUGUUGUAGCAAAGCAGUUUGUUUUUCAGACAGCAUAGUGUUUAACAUCUGCCUUGGUGUUUCUAUAAAUAUGCCUGAUCUCUAUUCAUGAUGUAAUACCUCUAACAAAUUUAUGGGGUUGUUAUAUAACCAAACUAGACCAAAUGAAAUAAUAUUCAUGGGUGAGUUCAUUUAUCUACAGGAUACAUAAUUUUUUAUUGUAUAUGUGUAUUUAGCUCAUCAGAGAUAAAGUCUGUUGUAUAGAUAACUUAAAGAGGCUGUAACAUGUGGCAUGUGAAGAUUUCAGAUUGCUUUAUAGAAUCCCAAAGAGUGAAACUGGGUCACACUUCAAUGCAAUUUCUAUUAAAUCAUGUCUUUAUUACAUUACUGGCAUUAAAGGGACACAGAUUUCUAGCAUAAAAGG
Molecule: long non-coding RNA, 2286 nt
Filed under: Fukomys damarensis (Damara mole-rat)
Lineage: Eukaryota; Metazoa; Chordata; Mammalia; Rodentia; Bathyergidae
Description: lncRNA (ENSFDAG00000027217.1)
Source: RNAcentral